Molecule: ribosomal RNA, 479 nt
Filed under: uncultured bacterium
Lineage: Bacteria
Description: partial 16S ribosomal RNA
Rfam family: Bacterial small subunit ribosomal RNA
Source: RNAcentral
GAUGAACGCUAGCGGGAGGCCUAACACAUGCAAGCCGAGCGGUAUUGUUUCUUCGGAAAUGCGAGAGCGGCGUACGGGUGCGGAACACGUGUGCAACCUGCCUUUAUCUGGGGGAUAGCCUUUCGAAAGGAAGAUUAAUACUCCAUAACAUAUUGAACGGCAUCGUUCGAUAUUGAAAGCUCCGGCGGAUAGAGAUGGGCACGCGCAAGAUUAGCUAGUUGGUGAGGUAACGGCUCACCAAGGCGAUGAUCUUUAGGGGGCCUGAGAGGGUGAUCCCCCACACUGGUACUGAGACACGGACCAGACUCCUACGGGAGGCAGCAGUGAGGAAUAUUGGUCAAUGGGUGCAAGCCUGAACCAGCCAUCCCGCGUGAAGGACGACUGCCCUAUGGGUUGUAAACUUCUUUUGUAUAGGGAUAAACCUGCCCUCGUGAGGGUAGCUGAAGGUACUAUACGAAUAAGCACCGGCUAACUCCGUG